UACGUAGGGUGCGAGCGUUAAUCGGAAUUACUGGGCGUAAAGCGUGCGCAGGCGGUUCGUUGUGUCCGUCGUGAAAGCCCCGGGCUUAACCUGGGAACUGCGAUGGAAACUAGCGAGCUGGAGUGUGGCAGAGGGGGGUGGAAUUCCGCGUGUAGCAGUGAAAUGCGUAGAGAUGCGGAGGAACACCGAUGGCGAAGGCAGCCCCCUGGGCCAACACUGACGCUCAUGCACGAAAGCGUGGGGAGCAAACAGG
This 253-nucleotide ribosomal RNA is filed under the name uncultured bacterium. RNAcentral describes it as "partial 16S ribosomal RNA". It matches the Rfam family "Bacterial small subunit ribosomal RNA", at positions 524 to 776 of the family's 1533-position model. The record is from RNAcentral.